CUUGAUACGCUUGGAGUCGACUCGUGAUACUCGGGAGUCGACUCGAGUCUCAGACUUUGGUUCAGCAGACUUCUUAACUUAACCAAUAUACUAUGAACCAAGUCUAGAGACACUUGGACAGGUUUUUCACUGAAACACUCAAUUGAAUUCAUUAGUAAUCACAAGAUAUACUCAAAUGCUUUGAGCUCAUCAAAAUCAAAUGGGGUUUUAAUCAAUCACUCCACAAUCUCCUCCUUUUUGAUGAUGACAAAACUUUGAGUAUAUGUAAAAUGAAUUGCUCAUAAAACAAUGAAGUAAAAUCCAUAAAUGAAUUCAAAUGUCUGAUAAUUUAAUUUAUCCAAGUUUGAAAGGAGUGAAACAUUAAAUUUCGGAGUUAAAGCUCCCCCUUUCAUUUGGAAUUAUAUAAGCCUUCAUAUUAUUCAAUCAAUUGUUUGGCUUAUAUGUCAUUAAUGAUUUAGUUUGAUUAAAAUUCAGAUUCUCCCCCUCAACAUAUGCAUUCAACUAUGUUUUGAUUUUCUGAAUUCCCUUUUUAUGUUUUGAAGUUUUUGAACUGAAUUUUUUGUUUUUAGAGGAAAAAUCUGUCAAUUUGUUCUUGAGUAGGAUUCAGCUAAUCUCCGAAUAUCCCUUGAAUAGAUUCUAGAGAUUACUCCAUUAGGAGCCCCAAAAGAGAGAUAAUGAGCCUCGAGGUACCGAAUCCACUUAGAACAAAUUUGUGUGUGUUUUUAAGAGUUUAUCUUUUUUUAAGAGUUUAUCUUUUUAUUGAUUUCUUUUACAUAUUUUAUCCAUAUUUCUUCCCUUUAUACAUAUUUUAUACAUAUUUCUCUCCCUUUUUGUCAUCAUAUCAAAAAGGAGGUAAUCACACACAAUCAAUGGCACAACC
Molecule: long non-coding RNA, 880 nt
Filed under: Phoenix dactylifera (date palm)
Lineage: Eukaryota; Viridiplantae; Streptophyta; Magnoliopsida; Arecales; Arecaceae
Description: long non-coding RNA (PDAC_LNC017278)
Source: RNAcentral